RNA transcript from Argentina anserina (silverweed cinquefoil), 1885 nucleotides. It is a transcript of the gene named G2/mitotic-specific cyclin C13-1-like, with no coding region annotated. NCBI's taxonomy places the organism in Eukaryota, Viridiplantae, Streptophyta, Magnoliopsida, Rosales, Rosaceae. The record is from RefSeq and is a predicted model, not a curated record. The transcript is spliced from 9 exons.
AAAGCUUCAAAAUUCGAAACCCAAAAUUUUUAUACCAAAAACCAAAAGCACCAAACACCCGAGAUUUCGUAGCAAAUUCAACCUGGCUCUCUGAUUUUACCAUUCUCACUACAAAUCCCCAAUCACACCUCUCACUCAAAACCACUCUUACUUUGACUACUUCCACACCCCAAAUCUCGGAGACAACUGGGAUGUCUUCUUUUACCAUGGCCGAGAAUCGCGCGGCGGCCAAGAGGAGGGCGGUGGCGGCCUUGGCCGAGGAGCACCAGCUGGCCACUAAGAAGCGCGCGGUUCUCGGAGAUCUCACCAACUUGGCAGACGCCGUCGUUUUGGCCUCUGAAAACCCUAAACCCAAAUGUGAAAAACGGAGUGCUGUUAGUGCUGUGCCGGAGAGUGACAAUGAAGACCCACAGCUUUGUGGUGCUUAUGCUUCUGAUAUCUAUGCCUAUCUCCGCAGAUUGGAGGUGGAACCAAAGAGAAGGCCAUUGCCUGAUUACAUGGAGAGAAUUCAGAGGGAUGCUAUUAGUGCUACUAUGAGAGGGAUUCUUGUGGAUUGGUUGGUGGAUGUUGCCGACGAAUUUAAGUUUCUUCCAGACACUCUUUAUCUAUGUGUUUCCUAUGUUGAUAAGUAUCUGUCGAUGAAUGUGAUCGACAAGCAGAAGCUUCAGUUAUUGGGAGUUGCUUCGAUGUUCAUUGCCUCGAAGUAUGAAGAGAUUAAUCCUCCAAAUGCGGAUGAGCUUAGUGACAUGACAGAAAAUACAUACACCAAAAUGGAGGUGAUCAAGAUGGAGGCUGAUAUCCUCAAGUCUCUCAAAUUCGAAAUGGGGAAUCCUACUGUUAGGACCUUCUUAAGAAAGUUUACUGAUGCUGCUCAUGGGACAGAUAAAACUCCCAAUUUGCAGUUUGAGUUCUUGGUUUCCUACCUUGGAGAGCUAAGUUUGUUGGAUUAUAAAUGUGUGAAGUUCUUGCCUUCUCUGGUAGCUUCAUCAGUUAUUUUCCUUGCAAGAUUAAUGAGAUCAAAUGUGAACCCUUGGUGUUCAACAUUGCAACAAUGCACUGGGUACAAAGCAGCUGAUUUGAAAGAUUGUGUUCUUGUCCUUCAUGACUUGUACUUGGGUAGAGAAGGAGGAUCGUUACAAGUUGUGCGAGAGAAAUACAAACAACAUAAGUUCAAGUUCGUGGCAAAUGUUCCCUGCCCCCCAGAGCUACCAGCUCCUCUGUUUGAUAAUGUGAAUGCAUGAUAGAUGAUAUUAAUUUGGGGUUUAUGUUGAAACAAUGACAAUGACCGUUGUGGAAAAGCCUGUCUCAGUAUGUUGGGAAGAUCUGGCUAAAGGUUUACUGAGAAUAAUCUCAAUUGAAGGCUACUUUGAAGUUUGAAGGGUGUUGACAGAUGCUUAAGGGGUAUCAACUGUUCUGUACGAUCUUCAAGGGCCAUAGUAGCAGUUAAAGAAAAUGUGCGAACUCAAGUUCUUGGGGUUAUAGGAUAUAACUCCGGCGUACUCGCACAUAGAAAUUGGAUAGCCUAUGCUGCUAUGUUGCUUUCAUAGAGCUAACAAGGCAAUGAGAGUUGACAGGAUUAUUUGUCCUUUUCCAACUGAUACAACCAGUGGCUCCCCUCAGGUGGUAUUAUCGAAGAGAAAAAUCUGUCCAAAUUCAAUCCAUGACCGAACUUAGUGUGGAAUGUUAUUGUGUUUAAGCUGUUGGCAGUGGGGACUGUACUGCACAAUUAUGGCUGUGAUCGUGUACUGCCAGAUUACAUACAAGUGAGCUGAGCUAAAUUCAAAUUCACAGCCAGCUAGUUGUAUUUUCUUUGUAGGCGAGUUGCAUUAACCUUCCAUUUCUGUACAAUUAAAAGGAUGCAGUUAUGUGGUGAUCGGAAUAACUU